This 1885-nucleotide long non-coding RNA is filed under the name Homo sapiens (human). RNAcentral describes it as "HSALNT0381808". Lineage: Eukaryota; Metazoa; Chordata; Mammalia; Primates; Hominidae. The record is from RNAcentral.
CACUCCAGCCUGAGCAACAGAGCAAGACUCUGUCUCAAAGAAAAAAAAAAAAGAAAAGCACUGAACAGAAAGGUUAGUUUUAUACAAGAAUGAAGGAGGGAAGAACAUGAAAGGCCCUCAAAGAAUCCUCAUUUUAUAAAGAAGGGCAUUGAGGCCCAGCCCAAGUAACUAUUUAUUAAAUCUCUAAUUAAUGUCCACAAACUACUACAAAACAAUAACUGGAAAUGAUUAGUUUUGCAUAUGAUAUAUUAGAAGUGAGCUGAGUAACCCAUGGAAUCUGUCUGGUACAACUCCUCAUCUGAGAUAUGAAAACACAGAGGUCCAGAGAGGAGAUGUGACUUGCUUAACAUCACACAGCUAGUGAGUAGCCAAGCAGAUGAGCCUCCUAACUCCCCUUUCUUUCUUGCAUGCCACACUAAUCAGAGAUGCAAAGGUACUUGUCUUAAAAAGCAAGAGAGGGACAAGCAAAAGGAAAAGUAGGAAUAAGUGAACUUCCUUCUUUGUCCCUGAUUUCUAUAAUUUUCUUUCCACUAUCUCCCUGCAGCCCCCCGAUCCUUGCCAUGAACUCAACACUUUGCAGCAAGCCCACUCGUAUCCCCAGCAGAAAUUUCAGAGGGUCUCUCUCUUUCUAAUGUUCCUGUGUUAUGUAACAGAGCUGAACUGGCACCCCAGCUGAUCCCUCCUACCUAAUUACAUCAUUUACCUUCAGACCUUGACAUCUGGCUGUCUUCUCAGCUCUGGAAACUUGUCAGAAUCCAAUAUCUCAAAGAGUGGGUCUGAAGCUGGACAGCAGGGAACACCCCAUUCUCCUGCCCCCAGCUCUCCUAUGGAAUCCUAAUUCAAGGCAGGGUCGGGUGUGAAGGGCAGCUCAGGGGAAGAAUAUCCGAUCGUGGCUAAUACCCACCUCCUCUAAGAAGCUUAUCAGGGCAUUGUACAAGUUCUGGGUCCCGGUACACCUGACCAAGCCUGAGAGAGUGGGCCUUCCACCAGGGACACAGAGGGGCUCACUGUGGGCCCACAAAGUCAAUGGAGGAACUGGGGAGAUUUCUCAAACUUGUUUCUAAGCUAUGAGAAUGAGAGGUGGUCUAGGGUUUCCAUGCUUAGAUGGUGGAAAGUUUUGAAAAGAUUCAGAAGGCGCUCUGAGAAAACGAAGGGAAAGUGACUGGGGCUUAAGAGAUCAGAAGACCUCAGUUAGCAUUAGGCUCGACUUGCUACUGUGUGAUUCUAAUGUAAUCUAAAAGUAAAUGUGGGGAUAAUAAUACCUGUCCUUCCUAUUUGUAAGGUGAAUGUGAGAAUCAAAAUAAAAAACAAAGAUUAUAGAGAAAACACCAAGCAAACUUCAAAGCAAUUCAUACCUGAAAUCUAUUUUAUUAGGCCUAAAGGAAAUCCUUGGUGUAGAGGGCACUAAUGGAUCUCCCCAGAGCAGGCUGGGACAUCCCAAGAUACCUGAGGAGUUGGUGCCCUGAGCCCCCCGCGCCUCCAGCCCAUGACUUGGAGCUGAUCAAAGUGGGAGUAGGAGUACCUGGGUGCAUGAUGCUUUGGGUUACUUUCAUCUGAAAUAGCAGUUAAUCCUCACAGCCUCACCUCUACCCUGCUUCACCUUGAGUGGCCUGGAACAGUAAGAAGGUCACGAGCUCCCUCUGCUGAAGCCCACAGAAGGGCCCACCCACUGUGGAAGAGCUGGCUUCAUCUCUGAGUAUGCUGGGGUCACUCUGGAUGUUGGAAGCCUGGGAUCAGGACCUGAGGUCUGCUAGUUACAUGUCCUUGCCUUUAUGCUGCUGUGGGCAGAACAAAAUCUAGUUCUUUCCCUUUUCAUGCCACUAUGUAACACAGUCUCAAUCUGGCCCAGAAAGAUGAAAAAAGGAAUAUAAUUCACAAAGUAAAA